GACGAACGCUGGCGGCGUGCCUAAUACAUGCCAGUCGAGCGGACUUUCAAGAAGCUUGCUUUUUGAACGUUAGCGGCGGACGGGUGAGUAACACGUGGGCAACCUGCCUGCAAGACGGGGAUAACUCCGGGAAACCGGGGCUAAUACCGGAUAAUAUCUUCCUUCGCAUGAAGGAAGGUUGAAAGGCGGCGCAAGCUGCCGCUUGCAGAUGGGCCCGCGGCGCAUUGGCUAGGUGGUGAGGUAACGGCUCACCAAGGCGACGAUGCGGAGCCGACCUGAGGGGGUGAUCGGCCACACUGGGACUGAGACACGGCCCAGACGCCUACGGGAGGCAGCAGGAGGGAAUCUUCCGCAAUGGACGAAAGUCUGACGGAGCAACGCCGCGGGAGCGAAGAAGGUCUUCGGGUCGGAAAGCUCGGUUGUCAGGGAAGAACAAGUACCGUUCGAACAGGGCGGUACCUUGACGGUACCUGACCAGAAAGCCACGGCUAACUACGUG
RNAcentral lists this ribosomal RNA (499 nucleotides) under uncultured bacterium. RNAcentral describes it as "partial 16S ribosomal RNA". It matches the Rfam family "Bacterial small subunit ribosomal RNA", at positions 28 to 507 of the family's 1533-position model. The record is from RNAcentral.